GCCAGCAUGGUGUAGUGGUAAAGUGCUGGACUAUAACUCUGGAGACCAGAGUUCAAAUCCACAUUCAGCCA
This is a non-coding RNA of Phrynosoma platyrhinos (Desert horned lizard), 71 nucleotides long. The record is from the annotation of a GenBank genome assembly. Lineage: Eukaryota; Metazoa; Chordata; Lepidosauria; Squamata; Phrynosomatidae.